UGGCGGCGUGCCUAACACAUGCAAGUCGAACGAGAAAGUUGGCUUCGGCCGAUGAGUAAAGUGGCGCACGGGUGAGUAACGCGUGGAUAAUCUGCCCUUUAGUUUGGAAUAACGUACCGAAAGGUGCGCUAAUACCGGAUAAUACUGAAUGACUACUGUCGUUUAGUCAAAGAAGGCUUCUGUUUACAUGCUUUUGCUGAAGGAUGAGUCCGCGUACCAUUAGCUAGUUGGUAGGGUAAUGGCCUACCAAGGCGACGAUGGUUAGCUGGUCUGAGAGGAUGAUCAGCCACACUGGAACUGAGACACGGUCCAGACUCCUACGGGAGGCAGCAGUGAGGAAUAUUGCGCAAUGGGGGCAACCCUGACGCAGCAACGCCGCGUGAGUGAGGAAGGUUUUCGGACCGUAAAGCUCUGUCGAGCGGGAAGAAAUGCAUGGUGGCUAAUAUCCAUCAUGCUUGACGGUACCGCUAAAGGAAGCACCGGCUAACUCCGUG
Molecule: ribosomal RNA, 494 nt
Filed under: uncultured bacterium
Lineage: Bacteria
Description: bacterial SSU rRNA
Rfam family: Bacterial small subunit ribosomal RNA
Source: RNAcentral